This 84-nucleotide transfer RNA is filed under the name Drosophila grimshawi. RNAcentral describes it as "tRNA-Leu (TAA) (tRNA-Leu-TAA-2-1)". It matches the Rfam family "tRNA". Rfam says of the family: Transfer RNA (tRNA) molecules are approximately 80 nucleotides in length. The record is from Rfam by way of RNAcentral. Lineage: Eukaryota; Metazoa; Arthropoda; Insecta; Diptera; Drosophilidae.
GUCAGGUUGGCCGAGCGGUCUAAGGCGCCAGACUUAAGCUCUGUUUCUCGAAAGAGAGCGUGGGUUCGAAUCCCACACCUGACA